AACGAACGCUGGCGGCAGGCUUAACACAUGCAAGUCGAGCGCCCCGCAAGGGGAGCGGCCGACGGGUGAGUAACGCGUGGGAACGUACCUUUUGGUUCGGAACAACUCCGGGAAACUGGAGCUAAUACCGGAUAAGCCCUAACGGGGAAAGAUUUAUCGCCGAAAGAUCGGCCCGCGUCUGAUUAGCUAGUUGGUGAGGUAACGGCUCACCAAGGCGACGAUCAGUAGCUGGUCUGAGAGGAUGAUCAGCCACACUGGGACUGAGACACGGCCCAGACUCCUACGGGAGGCAGCAGUGGGGAAUAUUGGACAAUGGGCGCAAGCCUGAUCCAGCCACGCCGCGUGAGUGAUGAAGGCCUUAGGGUUGUAAAGCUCUUUUGUCCGGGAAGAUAAUGACUGUACCGGAAGAAUAAGCCCCGGCUAACUUCGUG
RNAcentral lists this ribosomal RNA (431 nucleotides) under uncultured bacterium. RNAcentral's name for it is "partial 16S ribosomal RNA". It matches the Rfam family "Bacterial small subunit ribosomal RNA", at positions 29 to 507 of the family's 1533-position model. The record is from RNAcentral.